RNAcentral lists this ribosomal RNA (443 nucleotides) under uncultured Bacillota bacterium. Its description in RNAcentral is "bacterial SSU rRNA". It matches the Rfam family "Bacterial small subunit ribosomal RNA", at positions 917 to 1359 of the family's 1533-position model. Lineage: Bacteria; Bacillati; Bacillota. The record is from RNAcentral.
GGGCCCGCACAAGCGGUGGAGCAUGUGGUUUAAUUCGAUGCAACGCGAAGAACCUUACCAGGUCUUGACAUCUGGCGAAUCCUGAUGAAAAUCGGGAGUGCCUUUUGGAGCGCCAAGACAGGUGGUGCAUGGUUGUCGUCAGCUCGUGUCGUGAGAUGUUGGGUUAAGUCCCGCAACGAGCGCAACCCUUGCUAUUAGUUGCUAACAGGUAGAGCUGAGCACUCUAAUGGAACUGCCUGUGACAAGCAGGAGGAAGGUGGGGAUGACGUCAAAUCAUCAUGCCCUUUAUGAUCUGGGCUACACACGUGCUACAAUGGAUGGUACAGAGAGCAGCGAGGCCGCGAGGUGGAGCGAAUCUCAAAAAGCCAUUCUCAGUUCGGAUUGCAGUCUGCAACUCGACUGCAUGAAGUCGGAAUCGCUAGUAAUCGCGAAUCAGCAUGUCG